This 255-nucleotide ribosomal RNA is filed under the name Klebsiella pneumoniae. RNAcentral describes it as "partial 23S ribosomal RNA". It matches the Rfam family "Bacterial large subunit ribosomal RNA", at positions 1399 to 1656 of the family's 2925-position model. The record is from RNAcentral. Lineage: Bacteria; Pseudomonadati; Pseudomonadota; Gammaproteobacteria; Enterobacterales; Enterobacteriaceae. RNAcentral also lists the same sequence under 1 other name.
AGGCCGAAAGGCGUAGUCGAUGGGAAACAGGUUAAUAUUCCUGUACUUGGUGUUACUGCGAAGGGGGGACGGAGAAGGCUAUGUUAGCCGGGCGACGGUUGUCCCGGUUUAAGCAUGUAGGCUGGUUGUCCAGGCAAAUCCGGAUAAUCAAGGCUGAGGUGUGAUGACGAGGCACUACGGUGCUGAAGUAACAAAUGCCCUGCUUCCAGGAAAAGCCUCUAAGCAUCAGGUAACAUUAAAUCGUACCCCAAACCG